Long non-coding RNA from Oncorhynchus tshawytscha (Chinook salmon), 336 nucleotides. NCBI's taxonomy places the organism in Eukaryota, Metazoa, Chordata, Actinopteri, Salmoniformes, Salmonidae. The record is from Ensembl.
GUGAUAUAUAGGAGGUAACCUGGGGUUGGUGUGAUAUAUAGGAGGUGACCUGGGCUGAGUUGGUGUGAUAUAUAGGAGGUGACCUCGGCAGAGUUGGUGUGAUAUAUAGGAGGUAACCUGGGCUAAGUUGGUGAGAUAUAUAGGAGUAAACCUGGGCUGAGUUGGUGUGAUAUAUAGGAGGUGACCUGGGCUGAGUCGGUGUGAUAUAUAGGAGUAAACCUGGGCUGAGUUGUUGUGAUAUAUAGGAGUAAACCUGGGCUGAGUUGGUGUGAUAUAUAGGAGGUAACCUGGGCUGAGUUGGUGUGAAAUGUAGGAGGUAACCUGGGCUGAGUUGGU